AAGUCGUAACAAGGUUUCCGUAGGUGAACCUGCGGAAGGAUCAUUAACACGUAUCCAACGUUAACCCCCCUGUGAACCUUCAGUGUGCUCGUACGCUUUGUUAGAAAGUAGCAAUCCCUGGUAAAUCCAGGAAUCUCUGCGAAGGGUGUGCAUGUUGCGCGAGGUAAGUGGCCUGGCAUCCCCAAGUAGUUAUUGUCUGAAAGUGUCAUUAACUCCGUAAGGAUGAGUCACGAUCGUUGGAGGCCGACACGGCCCCUUAUCACAAAACCCAUGCAUGAAGACGCGCCUGCGCUAAAACCGCGGCGACCAAAAACCGAACAACUGUUAACAAUGGAUAUCUUGGUUCUC
RNAcentral lists this unclassified non-coding RNA (348 nucleotides) under fungal sp. RNAcentral describes it as "partial internal transcribed spacer region". The stretch from base 1 to 46 matches the Rfam family "Eukaryotic small subunit ribosomal RNA", at positions 1786 to 1831 of the family's 1831-position model. The record is from RNAcentral. Lineage: Eukaryota; Fungi.